This 435-nucleotide ribosomal RNA is filed under the name uncultured bacterium. RNAcentral describes it as "partial 16S ribosomal RNA". It matches the Rfam family "Bacterial small subunit ribosomal RNA", at positions 28 to 507 of the family's 1533-position model. The record is from RNAcentral.
GAUGAACGCUGGCGGUAUGCUUAACACAUGCAAGUCGAACGGACUCUUCGGAGUUAGUGGCGGACGGGUGAGUAACGCGUGAGAAUCUGGCUUUGGGUUCGGGACAACCACUGGAAACGGUGGCUAAUACCGGAUGUGCCGAGAGGUAAAAGAGAAAUUGCCUGAAGAUGAGCUCGCGUCUGAUUAGCUAGUUGGUGAGGUAAAGGCUCACCAAGGCAGCGAUCAGUAGCUGGUCUGAGAGGAUGACCAGCCACACUGGGACUGAGACACGGCCCAGACUCCUCCGGGAGGCAGCAGUGGGGAAUUUUCCGCAAUGGGCGAAAGCCUGACGGAGCAAUACCGCGUGAGGGAAGAAGGCUCUUGGGUUGUAAACCUCUUUUCUUAGGGAAGAACAAAAUGACGGUACCUAAGGAAUCAGCAUCGGCUAACUCCGUG